UGCUUGGUAACGGCCAGAACGAGGGUGACGACUGAAGAGGAGGACAAGGGAAGAGAAGGACGGGGCUCCAGAAAAUGUCUUCUUGCGGGUCCUUCCACAUCAUCUUCUGAUGCUCCUGAAGUUACAACCACCAAAAUCUUGUUCCUGUCCCUUCUUGGAGUUUUGAAAAAAGUCUCAUGGACCUUUUGUAUGGCAUUCCCAGUGUUUAAAGAUCCACCCCUGAAUAAAAAUUGCUUCUUAAGAUGGGUCAGCAUGGGAUUCUUUCCUCUGAACUUAUGCAGCUGAAAUUCAACAUGCACAUCAUCACUGUAUUGCACAAGUGCAACAUGAUAUCUGUCUGGGCCUAUUGGGAGACCAUUAAUCAUCUUUUGAACAAAAUUCUUCAUAGCAGAGAAUGCCUUUUUUCCAAUUACAUCAGAGCUAUCAAUCAAAAGUACAACAUCUGCAGAUCCGGAGGCUGCAAAAGCAGAAAACUAAAGUUAGUUCAUAUUAGUGCUUUACCAAAGAUAUUCCUAUAAAAAAUUGAAGACAAAAAUAGCAUAGACUAUCAUAAAUUCUCUUUGAUUUGUU
Hemicordylus capensis (graceful crag lizard) is the source of this 570-nucleotide long non-coding RNA. RefSeq lists it as uncharacterized. NCBI's taxonomy places the organism in Eukaryota, Metazoa, Chordata, Lepidosauria, Squamata, Cordylidae. The transcript is spliced from 2 exons. The record is from RefSeq and is a predicted model, not a curated record.